This 377-nucleotide unclassified non-coding RNA is filed under the name uncultured Amanita. RNAcentral's name for it is "sequence contains ITS2". The stretch from base 1 to 154 matches the Rfam family "5.8S ribosomal RNA". The record is from RNAcentral. Lineage: Eukaryota; Fungi; Basidiomycota; Agaricomycetes; Agaricales; Amanitaceae.
AACUUUUAACAACGGAUCACUUGGCUCUCGCAUCGAUGAAGAACACAGCGAAAUGUGAUAAGUAAUGUGAAUUGCAGAAUCCCGUGAAUCAUCGAAUCUUUGAACGCAUCUUGCGCUCCUUGGCAUUCGAAGGAGCAUGCCUGUUUGAGUGUCGUUAAACUAUCAAAACACUUUUCUUGGGUGUUUUGGACUUGGAAGUAUCUUGCUGGUCUGUUUGGGCCAGCUCUCCUCAAAAGCAGUAGCUUUGGAGACCAUCAGUGUGAUAAUUUGUUUACACUGACUAGAGUGUCUCAGCUUCUCCUUUUCAAUAAUACCCCUUUGACCUCAAAUCAGGUAGGACUACCCGCUGAACUUAAGCAUAUCAAUAAGCGGAGCCU